RNAcentral lists this unclassified non-coding RNA (225 nucleotides) under plant metagenome. Its description in RNAcentral is "partial contains small subunit ribosomal RNA and internal transcribed spacer 1". The stretch from base 1 to 46 matches the Rfam family "Eukaryotic small subunit ribosomal RNA", at positions 1786 to 1831 of the family's 1831-position model. The record is from RNAcentral.
AAGUCGUAACAAGGUUUCCGUAGGUGAACCUGCGGAAGGAUCAUUAAAUUUCGGUAGUUUACUACCGUUUGAAGGGGGUGGAAACCUUGAAAGAGGGAGUACAUUCUGUUCUUAACCCUUGACUUUUUGCGUACUCAUGUUUCCUCGGUAGGCUUGCCUGCCGAUUGGACAAUCAAUAACCUUUUUACUUUUUAAUCAGCGUCUGAUCAAUUUUAAUAAUUACAA